This 406-nucleotide ribosomal RNA is filed under the name uncultured bacterium. Its description in RNAcentral is "partial 16S ribosomal RNA". It matches the Rfam family "Bacterial small subunit ribosomal RNA", at positions 30 to 526 of the family's 1533-position model. The record is from RNAcentral.
AUUGCACGCUGGCGGCAGGCCUAACACAUGCAAGUCGAACGAGUGGCGGACGGGUGAGUAAUGUCUGGGAAAAUGCCCGAUGGAGGGGGCUAACUCCUGGAAACGGUAGCUAAUACCGCAUACCAUCGGAUGUGCCCGUAUGGGAUUAGCUAGUAGGUUGGGUAACGUCUCACCUAGGCGACGAUCCCUAGCUGGUCUGAGAGGCUGACAAGCCACACUGGAACUGAGACACGGUCCAGACUCCUACGGGAGGCAGCAGUGGGGAAUAUUGCACAAUGGGCGCAAGCCUGAUGCAGCCAUGCCGCGUGUAUGAAGAAGGCCUUCGGGUUGUAAAGCACUUUUAGCGAGGAGGCGUUACUCGCAGAAGAAGCACCGGCUAACUCCGUGCCAGCAGCCGCGGUAAUUC